This 492-nucleotide ribosomal RNA is filed under the name uncultured bacterium. Its description in RNAcentral is "partial 16S ribosomal RNA". It matches the Rfam family "Bacterial small subunit ribosomal RNA", at positions 29 to 507 of the family's 1533-position model. The record is from RNAcentral.
AGUGAACGCUGGCGGUAGGCCUAACACAUGCAAGUCGAACGGAAGCACAGUAAGAGCUUGCUCUUACGGGUGGCGAGUGGCGGACGGGUGAGGAAUACAUCGGAAUCUACUAUUUCGUGGGGGACAACGUAGGGAAAGUUACGCUAAUACCGCAUAUGACCUACGGGAGAAAGCAGGGGAUCUUCGCACCUUUCGCGAUACAAUUAGACGAUGUCGGAUUAGCUAGUUGGCGGGGUAAAGGCCCACCAAGGCGACGAUCCGUAGCGGGUCUGAGAGGAUGAUCAGCCACACUGGAACUGAGACACGGUCCAGACUCCUACGGGAGGCAGCAGUGGGGAAUAUUCGACAAUGGGCGCAAGCCUGAUCCAGCCACACCGCGUGGGUGAAGAAGGCCUUCGGGUUGUAAAGCCCUGUUAUUGGGGAAGAAAAACAGCAGAUUAAUACCCCGCUGUUUUGACGGUACCUAAAGAAUAAGCAACGGCUAACUUCGUG